UACGAAGGGGGCUAGCGUUGCUCGGAAUCACUGGGCGUAAAGCGCACGUAGGCGGAUCUUUAAGUCAGGGGUGAAAUCCUGGAGCUCAACUCCAGAACUGCCUUUGAUACUGGGGAUCUCGAGUCCGGGAGAGGUGAGUGGAACUCCGAGUGUAGAGGUGAAAUUCGUAGAUAUUCGCAAGAACACCAGUGGCGAAGGCGGCUCACUGGCCCGAUACUGACGCUGAGGCACGAAAGCGUGGGGAGCAAACAGG
This 253-nucleotide ribosomal RNA is filed under the name uncultured bacterium. Its description in RNAcentral is "partial 16S ribosomal RNA". It matches the Rfam family "Bacterial small subunit ribosomal RNA", at positions 524 to 776 of the family's 1533-position model. The record is from RNAcentral.